GAUGAACGCUGGCGGCGUGCCUAAUACAUGCAAGUCGAGCGAACGGACGAGAAGCUUGCUUCUCUGAUGUUAGCGGCGGACGGGUGAGUAACGCGUGGAUAACCUACCUAUAAGACUGGGAUAACUUCGGGAAACCGGAGCUAAUACCGGAUAAUAUUUUGAACCGCAUGGUUCAAAAGUGAAAGACGGUCUUGCUGUCACUUAUAGAUGGAUCCGCGCUGCAUUAGCUAGUUGGUAAGGUAACGGCUUACCAAGGCAACGAUGCAUAGCCGACCUGAGAGGGUGAUCGGCCACACUGGAACUGAGACGCGGUCCAGACUCCUACGAGAGGCAGCAGUAGGGAAUCUUCCGCAAUGGGCGAAAGCCUGACGGAGCAACGCCGCGUGAGUUAUGAAGGUCUUCGGAGCGUAAAACUCUGUUAUUGGGGAAGAACAGAUGUGUAAGUAACUGUGCACAUCUUGACGGUACCUAAUCAGAAAGCCACGGCUAACUACGUG
This 497-nucleotide ribosomal RNA is filed under the name uncultured bacterium. RNAcentral's name for it is "partial 16S ribosomal RNA". It matches the Rfam family "Bacterial small subunit ribosomal RNA", at positions 28 to 507 of the family's 1533-position model. The record is from RNAcentral.